This 54-nucleotide transfer RNA is filed under the name Hemiphyllodactylus pinlaungensis (Pinlaung slender gecko). RNAcentral's name for it is "partial tRNA-Tyr". Lineage: Eukaryota; Metazoa; Chordata; Lepidosauria; Squamata; Gekkonidae. The record is from RNAcentral.
UUUUCAGGGGUAUGGGCCCGAAGCUUAAAACGUAAGUAGGUGUCCCUGCUACCA